GACGAAUGCUGGCGGCGUGCUUAACACAUGCAAGUCGAACGGAAAGGCCCUGCUUGCAGUGUACUCGAGUGGCGAACGGGUGAGUAACACAUGGGUGAUCUGCCCUGCACUUCGGGAUAAGCCUGGGAAACUGAGUCUAAUACCGGCUAGGAGACAUUUUUAGUGUGAUGGUUGGAAAGUUUUUUCGGUGUAAGAUGAGAUCGCGGCCUAUCAGCUUGUUGGUUGGGUAAUGGCCUACCAAGGCGGCGACGGGUAGCCGGCCUGAGUGGGUGGACGGCCACAUGGGGACUGAGAUACGGCCCAGACGCCUACGGGAGGCAGCAGUGGGGAAUAUUGCAGAAUGGGCGCGAGCCUGAUGCAGCGACGCCGCGUGGGGGAUGACGGCCUUCGGGUUGUAAACUACUUUCGCUAGGGACGAAGCUGUUGUGACGGUACCUAGAUAAGAAGCACCGGCUAACUACGUG
This 464-nucleotide ribosomal RNA is filed under the name uncultured bacterium. Its description in RNAcentral is "partial 16S ribosomal RNA". It matches the Rfam family "Bacterial small subunit ribosomal RNA", at positions 28 to 507 of the family's 1533-position model. The record is from RNAcentral.